RNAcentral lists this ribosomal RNA (207 nucleotides) under uncultured bacterium. RNAcentral's name for it is "partial 16S ribosomal RNA". It matches the Rfam family "Bacterial small subunit ribosomal RNA", at positions 568 to 774 of the family's 1533-position model. The record is from RNAcentral.
UGCGUGGGUGGUAUGGCAAGUCAGAAGUGAAAACCCAGGGCUUAACUCUGGGACUGCUUUUGAAACUGUCAGACUAGAGUGUAGGAGAGGUAAGCGGAAUUCCUAGUGUAGCGGUGAAAUGCGUAGAUAUUAGGAGGAACAUCAGUGGCGAAGGCGGCUUACUGGACUGAAACUGACACUGAGGCACGAAAGCGUGGGGAGCAAACA